Molecule: ribosomal RNA, 492 nt
Filed under: uncultured bacterium
Lineage: Bacteria
Description: partial 16S ribosomal RNA
Rfam family: Bacterial small subunit ribosomal RNA
Source: RNAcentral
AGUGAACGCUGGCGGUAGGCCUAACACAUGCAAGUCGAACGGCAGCACAGUAAGAGCUUGCUCUUACGGGUGGCGAGUGGCGGACGGGUGAGGAAUACAUCGGAAUCUACUUUUUCGUGGGGGAUAACGUAGGGAAACUUACGCUAAUACCGCAUACGACCUACGGGUGAAAGCAGGGGAUCUUCGGACCUUGCGCGAUUGAAUGAGCCGAUGUCGGAUUAGCUAGUUGGCGGGGUAAAGGCCCACCAAGGCGACGAUCCGUAGCUGGUCUGAGAGGAUGAUCAGCCACACUGGAACUGAGACACGGUCCAGACUCCUACGGGAGGCAGCAGUGGGGAAUAUUGGACAAUGGGCGCAAGCCUGAUCCAGCCAUACCGCGUAGGUGAAGAAGGCCUUCGGGUUGUAAAGCCCUUUUGUUGGGAAAGAAAAGCAGCAGGUUAAUACCCCGCGGUUCUGACGGUACCCAAAGAAUAAGCACCGGCUAACUUCGUG